This is a non-coding RNA of Paramuricea clavata, 183 nucleotides long. NCBI's taxonomy places the organism in Eukaryota, Metazoa, Cnidaria, Anthozoa, Malacalcyonacea, Plexauridae. The record is from the annotation of a GenBank genome assembly.
AGCCUCGUUUACACGAGCAAAUUUUAUUUGACAAAUUUCAUUUGAUCAAAUGCAUUUGACCAAAAGCUAGCAUGCUAGCUUUUGAUCAAAUGCAUUUGUCACAAUAAAUUUAUCACAAAUCUGUGCAAAAUAUCUUUGACAUAUGAAAUUUGUCAAAUAAAAUUUGCUCGUGUAAACGGGGCU